Molecule: microRNA precursor, 108 nt
Filed under: Nannospalax galili (Upper Galilee mountains blind mole rat)
Lineage: Eukaryota; Metazoa; Chordata; Mammalia; Rodentia; Spalacidae
Description: miRNA (ENSNGAG00000007667.1)
Source: RNAcentral
UCUUAUUUUAUAAGACUGCAGGACAGGGCUGGAGAGAUGGCUCAGAGGUUAAGAAAGCUGACUGCUCUUGCAGAAGACCCAGGUUCAAAUCCCAGCACCCACAUGGCA